AAAAAAGUAAUGGAACUAGAUAUUGUGCAUAACAAAAACGUAUCACCAUGUAAUUUCUGGUUUGCAAAAUUUUAAGUAAAAUAUUAUAAAUAGCAUCACUGAAACAAGAUAUUUUCCCAUUUCAAGAAGGUUUUUCUGCACAACUAUUGCCAUGGGACACGAGACAUCCAACGGCCAAAAAGAAAAAUACUACAUUUAUUGUAAAAUCAAAUAGACACCUUCAGUAAUUCAGCAAUCAUCACAGUUUUGUUGAUAGCUCUACCCGUGGCUUUCAGGACAACCUCAUCAGUGCCUUUGUCCUGUAAGAAUAUAAAACAUGGCAUUCAAAAACAACCCCAUAAUAGAAAAAUAUAUUAAUUUUAUGCAAUGCAAACCAUAAAUAAAAAAUGGAAGGAAAAUAGAGUCAUUGACGUGUACAUAUCCACCCGCAAAACACAUAUAUAUGUCUGCAAGAAUAUACUUAUGUGUAUAUGCACAAACAUACCCGCACACAUGUGUAAAAACGUGUGCACAGCUAACUAAGACAACAGCCUCUUCCCCCAACUAUCACCUGAAAAACUAUGAUGGGAAUCACAUAUUCUAACAAAA
RNAcentral lists this unclassified non-coding RNA (588 nucleotides) under Hevea brasiliensis (rubber tree). The record is from RNAcentral. Lineage: Eukaryota; Viridiplantae; Streptophyta; Magnoliopsida; Malpighiales; Euphorbiaceae.